This 299-nucleotide signal recognition particle RNA is filed under the name Aotus nancymaae (Ma's night monkey). RNAcentral's name for it is "Metazoan signal recognition particle RNA (ENSANAG00000008351.1)". It matches the Rfam family "Metazoan signal recognition particle RNA". From Rfam's summary of the family: The signal recognition particle (SRP) is a universally conserved ribonucleoprotein. It is involved in the co-translational targeting of proteins to membranes. The eukaryotic SRP consists of a 300-nucleotide 7S RNA and six proteins: SRPs 72, 68, 54, 19, 14, and 9. The record is from RNAcentral. Lineage: Eukaryota; Metazoa; Chordata; Mammalia; Primates; Aotidae.
GCCGGGCACGGUGGCGCGUGCCUGUAGCCCCAGCUACUCAGGAGGCUGAGGUGGGAAGAUGGCUUGAGCCCAAGAGUUCUGGGCUGUAGUGCGCUAUGCCGAUCGGGUGUCCGUACUAAGUUCAGCAUCAAUAUGGUGACCUCCCGGGAGCGGGGGACCACCAGGUCACCUAAGGAGGGGUGAACCGGCCCAGGUUGGAAACGGAGCCAGUCAAAACUCCCGUGCUGAUCAGUAGUGGGAUCACACCUGUGAAUAGCCACUGUACUCCAGCCUGGGCAACAGAGUGAGACUCCAUCUCU